UAGAGUAAUAUUGUAUAUUUUCUACUUUUUAAUUAAUUUUGCAUUUUCCCCCUAUGUUUUCUCAUCCUUUUUAUAUUUAUAUAUUUAUGUAUAUAUUUAUAUGUACAUUCAUAAAUACUUACAUUUUUGUGUGGUUUUUUUUUUUUUUUUUUUUUUUUUUUUUUAAAAGUAAUUCAUAAUGGCAAGAUUUUUAAAAAAAUUGUUUAAUUCGUGUAUAAAGUGGGUUUUACGAAAGUUUAAAAUCUCAAGCAAAACAAAAAUAUUUAUAAUUAAUCAUUGCUUGUUUGCUUCAUUCAUUUUAUUUUAUCUUUCAUAUUAUUUUUUUAUCAAUGGAGUCGUUAAUCCGGCGGUUAGAAUUGUUUUCGAUGGAAGUAAGUAUUAAACCGAUAAAAAAAAAAAAAAAAAAAAAAAAAUAAAAUAAUAUAUAUGUACACACUUGUUAAGUAUAUGUGUUACUUUUUACUAUUGUUUUAGCUUUUACAUUUAUAUAUGCAUUUAUGCCUGCAUUUAUGUCUGCAUUUAUGUCUGCAUUUAUGUCUGCAUUUAUGUCUGCAUUUAUGUCUGCAUUUGUUUAUGUGUUUAUACUUAUGUUGUAUAUCAGAAUAGUUACAAAAACGUUUUUUUUUUAAACGUAAACAUUUUUAAAAAAAUGUGUACAUUCAUACGUGUGACAUGUUUUUUUUUUUUUUUUUUUUUUUUUUUUCUCUCACUUGUAGACAUUAUCGCAGAUCAAACACUUACUUAUGAGAAUUCCAUAAUAGAGUCAAUAUGGCUAUUAUUCGAAAGUGGAAGUUAUUUUAAUAUGAUAUUGUUACUGUUUUUUUCAAUUAUAAUUCCUAUAUUUAAGUUUAUUGUAGUUAGUGAUAAUUUUUAUACCUUUUUUAAAUUACAUAAUUUAAGUUUAAAACGUUAUAAAGUAAAAAAGAAAAAAAAUCAUUAUGAUCAUAAUAGUGAAUUAUUUUAUAUUAAUACAGUAAAUGACAAUGAUAAAUAUAUGUUAAAAAAGUUUAACUUAUUAUGUUCUAUAUCAAGAUUUCAGUUUGUUGAUGUGAUGAUAUCUUUAUUUAUUGCCUCAUCGUUAAAUGUUUAUUUAUUAGAAACAAAAUUAUUAAAUGGUACAUAUUAUUUUUUAAAUUAUUGUGUACUAUCUACUAUAUCUUCCUUAUUUUUAUCAAUUUUAACAUCAAUAAAAAUUGAAAUAUUUAAAAAAUCAAAUAUAAAAAUAUAUUCUGUUUCUUCUGGAAAAUGCUUCAAUAAUGGCUACAACUUGAGUAACAGUUUUGGAAAGAGUAUUACUACUAAUUUUAAUGGUUAUGUACAAAAAAAUUUCAAUGAUAGUGACGUAGAUAGUUAUAACGAAAUACACAAUGAUGUAGAACAAAUUUAUCAAAGUAAUAUGUAUGAUAAUAAAGAUAUAAGUUAUAAAGAGUCAGUACAAACUUCGAAAUUAAAAAAAAAAGGACAUUCAAAGGAGAGUAAUAUACAAGGUGAUGGUACGACAGCUAGUAAUGACAGUGUUGUUAAUAGUAAUUAUGACAAUACGACUAAUACGAACGAAUAUAAUAUGUUAUCUACACAAAAAAUAAAUAAAAUUACAGGAGAAAUAACAAAAGAUGAUAAUAAUAAUAAUAAUAAAAAAUUGUUACUUUAUAAUAAAUUAGAAGCAUUACAUAAUAUAAGUUAUUUAUAUAAGUUAAUGAAAAAAAAUGAUGCAUAUAUUUAUAUAAAAAAAAAGAAAUUUAAUUUUUUAUUGAAAAAGAAUGGACAAAUGAAUAAAUUAAAUAUUUUUAAACUAGGUUAUAUAAUAUUUGUUUUUCUAAUUUUAUGUUUAUGUACUUAUUUAAUAAUAAAAGUUGAGAAUGAUAUGUUUGGGAUAUAUAUAUAUUUAAGCUAUUUUAAUUUUAAUAUUGAAGGUGUUUUAGUUGACUACAAUGACAUGUUAAAUAUAUUAAAAUUUAAAAUAGGUCAAUUAUAUAUUUAUACUUUUUUUAUUAUUCUACCAUUUUUAUUUCCAAUUAUUACUGUUAUUUUUUUAUUUUUAAGUAUAUUUUUUAUGAAUUUAUAUUAUAUAAACUUUUCUAUGAAAUAUAAAAAAAAUAAUAAUUUAUUUAGUGAUG
Long non-coding RNA from Piliocolobus tephrosceles (Ugandan red Colobus), 2117 nucleotides. NCBI's taxonomy places the organism in Eukaryota, Metazoa, Chordata, Mammalia, Primates, Cercopithecidae. The record is from Ensembl.